Theobroma cacao (cacao) is the source of this 1386-nucleotide RNA transcript. It is a transcript of the gene named U4/U6.U5 small nuclear ribonucleoprotein, with no coding region annotated. NCBI's taxonomy places the organism in Eukaryota, Viridiplantae, Streptophyta, Magnoliopsida, Malvales, Malvaceae. The record is from RefSeq and is a predicted model, not a curated record.
UUCCAGAAAAGUUCAUGCAAAAACCACAAGAGUUUACCUCUACCAAAAUACAUAAAAUCGCAGUUCCCAAAGUCCAGAUUCCCUUUCAUCCAAACGGGAAUUACAGGACGCUAUCCCUUCCGUCGUCCACAGCUAUCCACCACAAUGUCAGACCGCGACUGGCCUCGCGAUAGGGACCGAGAACGUGAGCGCGACCGCGACCGGGACCGUGAAAGAGAACGCCGACGCGACAGAGAAGACCGCGAGCGAGACCGAGACCGAGAACGGACACGCAGCAAGAGAUCCCGCACACCGGAGCGCACCCGAUCUCGUCACACGCGCUCUCGAACACGUUCUCCCGACCGCAACCGAUAUCGUUCACGCUCCCGUUCUCACACGCGCUCCCCGGAACGCUCCUCCCACCGUCACCACCGGCACCGGCACCGAACCCCAUCGGCGGAGCCGCCAAGGAAACGGCACCGCCACGAAAGCGAGGAGAGGGACAAAGAGAAGGAUAGGCAAAAGGCGGUGUCGGAUUUUGUGGACGAGAUAGCGAAAGAGCAGCAGCAAAAGAAAGAAAAUAACAGUAACGAGAACGAGAACGGAGAUGGAGGAGAGGAGGAUGAGAUGGAGAUGAUGAAGAAGUUGGGGAUUCCAGUUGAUUUUGAUUCCACGAAAGGAAAACAUGUUCCUGGUGCUGAUAUCAGUGGAGUUAGGGCUGUGACUAAGCGGCAGCCCAGGCAGUAUAUGAAUCGAAGAGGCGGGUUUAAUCGUCCAUUACCCGCUGAACGCAAUCGCUAGAAUUCGUUAAUUGAUUGAAAGCGUUUUCAAGGUUAGUCAUCUUCCUAGCAUUGGCGAUGGUCAUCCAUUUUGAGUGCUGGCAUGAAAAGCAAGGCAUAUAUUUAAUUAUACUUGAUGCCAGAAAGAAGUCAAGCAGCAGUCGUCAGUAAAGAUGUGAAAGUUUGGGAGUGAAGGAAAAAGAUCUGGGAUCCAGAAGUUCACUGCCUUGCGAUUAUUUAAUUUCAGUCAUUUAAGAAUGGGACAUGUUUUCUGAGGCCAUAUUUUAUAUGAAAAUCAUCUUCAAAAGUUGUGGUUCCCUAUACAUGCAAGAAUGCAUCUUGGAAAAUUCUGGUUCCUCAAAGGCUUACUAUAAUGAUGAAUAUUGUUUGCAUAUAAAAUUGUUGCCUUUUAAUGAUUAUAGUGUGUGUUUUCUGCAGAUGGCUAGUUGCCUUUUAGCCAAUUGAAUCAGGGGUGACAAUCAAUAUAAAAUCAUCUUACUAUGCAUGCCAACUGAUUUCAACUGCUGGAUUUGGUGUGGUAUCUUUGAGUUCCCAGAACCAUUUUCCUGCAUUUGGUGUGGCUUUCUUGUUUUCUUCCACCUCUAUUUCAGGUACUGUUUUCAUGCGA